AUUUAUAAUUGACUUGCUUGUACUGUGAAUCUUUGCUGUUCUUAACCACUGUAUUUUUCAUCGUCUAGAUCACGAUCCUUCUCUUCCUCACCCUCCCCGACCCCCCCGGCACAAAGAAACACUAAUAAGAACAAAGCUGAGCAGCCUCCUGGUGCAUUGAAAGGCCAUCCAUUGAAGCCUGGUGCACUGCCCCCUCCUCGCAGGGAGAAAGGACCCCCCAAAAUGAUGCCCAGCCCCACGUUGCCUGAACAGCCGGGGAAGCCACCCAAGCCAAUCACAGAGACAGCAAAGCCCCCCAUUCCCCGGCCAGCUGGAAGACCUCCUGGACCCAGAGAGCCGAGAGAACCACCCAUCAUGAGAGAAGGACGCAAGAAAGAACGUCAACAGCACAACCCACCUCGCAGCAGGCGAACAGUGAGUGGCAGCUGUAAGUGGCAGCAGUUAUUCUGGCUCCAGCUCACGCUCAAA
Long non-coding RNA from Cyprinus carpio (common carp), 468 nucleotides. RefSeq lists it as uncharacterized. The record is from RefSeq and is a predicted model, not a curated record. NCBI's taxonomy places the organism in Eukaryota, Metazoa, Chordata, Actinopteri, Cypriniformes, Cyprinidae. The transcript is spliced from 3 exons.